AGAAAGAAGGCAGCCUUGCUGCUGGUUGUUGCUGCUGCUCCUGCUUUUUUAAUGGACUGUUUCUCCCAUGCAGUGACCCUCUGCCAUGCUGCCCUGCCUUAGAGCCAUCCACCUAUGUACUGACUCCUCUACAAACUUGACCCUCUGCCAUGCUGCCCUGCCUUAGAGCCAUGCAUCUAUGUACUGACUCCUCUACAAACUGUGAGCUGAACUAAACCUUUCCUCCCUCAACUGGUGGAUGUCAAGUAUUUUGUUUCUGCAAUGAGAAAAGUUCCAUGGAAACAUACUACUGUAAAAGUCCAUCAUGACACGGGAACUUGCUCCAUGCUGUAGUGACAAGGCACAAUUCUUCAGCUCUCAGGAUGAUGACUGUACCAUGUAAAGAGGAACCUAGCACAGUGAUGGCCCCACGUCACAUGCCCUGGGGCACUCAGCCUCUGAUGGAAAUCUCUGGUCACCCCCCCCCCCCCCACCACCCCGCACCCCACCCCAGGUCAGGACUCUCAUCAUGGCCGUAGGUUUCUGCAGGUCUCUUCUGCUCCUCCCUGGAUAGGGACUGCAUGGGUGGGAGAGACAUGGUGCGUCGUCAUUAACACUCAAAGCUAUUUUGAUUUGGUUACAAGAUUUACAACUCCUCUGAAUCCAAAAAGGACUAGAAGCUUGCAUUACCAAUUUAUACAUAUAGAAGAACAAAUAAAAUUUAAAUUAAGCCUGAGCAAUAAUGACAAAAGACAGAAGGAUCAAUUGUUCAUUUGACUAAGAUACUAAGAUAGCCAGGCAUGGUGGCACAUACCUGUUAUCCCAGCCUCCAGGAGGCUGAUGCAGGAGAAUUAUCAUUUGAGGCCAGCCUAACCUACAUAGUGAGACCCCGUCUCAAAAAACAAAAACAAAAACACACAUAAUUUCGAGCUCCUGGUCCCAAGCCCAAGGCACAAGAAACUGUAUCAUGCUGUUCUAUUGUCUCACAGAGGUUGGGAUUCUCAGGUAGACGGGACAGAGUGCUCUGUUUGAGCAGGAAGGAUUCCCUUAGAUCCCUGGGAAGGGGCCUCCUGCUGCAGAGUAAGCAGUGGUGCAGAGGAGAGGCCUUCUAGAAGGAUUCAGCGGCCACUCUGCCUCCAGGUUUCUUAUUUACAUAUCUCUUCUUCCCCACUCCCAGGGCCCCGACUUGGUGUUUACCAGUGAAUUCAUUGUGAAAGUGCAGCUCCAGUCACCUCUGGAACCUGCAGAUGGCAUAAUUAGGGAGCAGGGCACUGAUGGUGUUAGUGGACAGCACUGAGCGAGGUCACGCUUGUGUGCAUCAUUACCCCCACUGUGUCUGCACCCCUCCUCAUGAU
RNAcentral lists this long non-coding RNA (1334 nucleotides) under Heterocephalus glaber (naked mole-rat). RNAcentral's name for it is "lncRNA (ENSHGLG00100032006.2)". The record is from RNAcentral. Lineage: Eukaryota; Metazoa; Chordata; Mammalia; Rodentia; Bathyergidae.